GAUGAACGCUGGCGGCGUGCCUAACACAUGCAAGUCGAGCGAAGCGAUUUUGAGGAAGUUUUCGGAUGGAAUCGAAAUUGACUUAGCGGCGGACGGGUGAGUAACACGUGGGUAAUCUGCCUUAUACAGGGGGAUAACAGUUAGAAAUGACUGCUAAUACCGCAUAAGCGCACGGGGACGCAUGUUUCUGUGUGAAAAACUCCGGUAGUAUAAGAUGAGCCCGCGUCUGAUUAGCUGGUUGGUGGGGUAACGGCCUACCAAGGCGACGAUCAGUAGCCGGACUGAGAGGUUGGCCGGCCACAUUGGGACUGAGAUACGGCCCAG
RNAcentral lists this ribosomal RNA (324 nucleotides) under uncultured bacterium. RNAcentral describes it as "bacterial SSU rRNA". It matches the Rfam family "Bacterial small subunit ribosomal RNA", at positions 28 to 334 of the family's 1533-position model. The record is from RNAcentral.